UAGGGAAUCUUCGGCAAUGGACGGAAGUCUGACCGAGCAACGCCGCGUGAGUGAAGAAGGUUUUCGGAUCGUAAAGCUCUGUUGUAAGAGAAGAACGAGUGUGAGAGUGGAAAGUUCACACUGUGACGGUAUCUUACCAGAAAGGGACGGCUAACUACGUGCCAGCAGCCGCGGUAAUACGUAAGGUCCCAGCGUUGUCCGGAAUUUAUGGGCGUAAAGCGGGCCGCGGGGGGUAAAUUAAUCUGAAGUUUUAGGGGGGGGGGUUAACCAAAAUACGCUUUUGGAAAAAGGUGUUUAUCUUGAGUGCAAGAGGGGAGAGUGGAAUUCCAUGUGUAGCGGUGAAAUGCGUAGAUAUAUGGAGGAACACCGGUGGCGAAAGCGGCUCUCUGGCUUGUAACUGACGCUGAGGCUCGAAAGCGUGGGGAGCAAACAGGAUUAGAUACCCUGGUAGUCCACGCCGUAAACGAUGAGUGCUAGGUGUUAGACCCUUUCCGGGGUUUAGUGCCGUAGCUAACGCAUUAAGCACUCCGCCUGGGGAGUACGACCGCAANGGUUG
RNAcentral lists this ribosomal RNA (556 nucleotides) under uncultured bacterium. RNAcentral's name for it is "bacterial SSU rRNA". It matches the Rfam family "Bacterial small subunit ribosomal RNA", at positions 355 to 896 of the family's 1533-position model. The record is from RNAcentral.